UGGGUAACCUGCCCUGUACACACGGAUAACAUACCGAAAGGUAUGCUAAUACGAGAUAAUAUGUUUUGACCGCAUGGUCGAGACAUCAAAGCUCCGGCGGUACAGGAUGGACCCGCGUCUGAUUAGCUAGUUGGUGAGGUAAUGGCUCACCAAGGCGACGAUCAGUAGCCGACCUGAGAGGGUGAUCGGCCACAUUGGAACUGAGACACGGUCCAAACUCCGUAGGAGG
This 229-nucleotide ribosomal RNA is filed under the name uncultured bacterium. RNAcentral describes it as "partial 16S ribosomal RNA". It matches the Rfam family "Bacterial small subunit ribosomal RNA", at positions 118 to 348 of the family's 1533-position model. The record is from RNAcentral.